Molecule: ribosomal RNA, 859 nt
Filed under: uncultured Sphingobacteriales bacterium
Lineage: Bacteria; Pseudomonadati; Bacteroidota; Sphingobacteriia; Sphingobacteriales
Description: bacterial SSU rRNA
Rfam family: Bacterial small subunit ribosomal RNA
Source: RNAcentral
UAGAGUUUGAUCCUGGCUCAGGAUGAACGCUAGCGGCAGGCUUAAUACAUGCAAGUCGAGGGGCAGCGGGGUGUAGCAAUACACUGCCGGCGACCGGCAAACGGGUGCGGAACACGUACACAACCUUCCUUUGAGCGGGGAAUAGCCCAGAGAAAUUUGGAUUAAUACCCCAUAGUAAGUUGGAAAGGCAUCUUUUUAACUUUAAAGAUUUAUCACUUGAAGAUGGGUGUGCGGCUGAUUAGGUAGUUGGCGGGGUAACGGCCCACCAAGCCGACGAUCAGUAACUGGUGUGAGAGCACGACCAGUCACACGGGCACUGAGACACGGGCCCGACUCCUACGGGAGGCAGCAGUAAGGAAUAUUGGUCAAUGGACGAAAGUCUGAACCAGCCAUGCCGCGUGGAGGAUGAAGGCCCUCUGGGUUGUAAACUUCUUUUAUAUGGGACGAAAAAAGGUCUUUCUAGAUCGUCUGACGGUACCAUAUGAAUAAGCACCGGCUAACUCCGUGCCAGCAGCCGCGGUAAUACGGAGGGUGCAAGCGUUAUCCGGGAUCACUGGGUUUAAAAGGAGCGUAGGUGGACUGGUAAGUCAGUGGUGAAAUCUCCGGGGCUUAACUCGGAAACUGCCAUUGAUACUAUCAGUCCUUGAUAUUGUGGAGGUCAGCGGAAUAUGUCAUGUAACGGUGAAAUGCUUAAAAAUGACAUAGAACACCCAAUUGCGAAGGGCACUGGCUACCCAUAUAUUUGAACUUGAGGGUCAAAAGCGGGGGGAACCACAAGGAUUAAAAACCCUGGGAGUCCCCCCCCCUAACUUAUGAAACUCCACAUACCCAAUAACCUGGUGUGGUCGGACCAAAACCU